Molecule: long non-coding RNA, 1118 nt
Organism: Lates calcarifer (barramundi perch)
Lineage: Eukaryota; Metazoa; Chordata; Actinopteri; Centropomidae
Exons: 6
Source: RefSeq, a predicted model, not a curated record
CCCAGAAACAUGUAGAAUUUGACCACCCACGUCUCCAUGGCAACUGAAUCAAUUUGCUGAUCAGUACUGUGUGUUGUGGUCGAAAGCUCUAGCAAAAGCAAACUGAGUGAAAUAUGAUUUGAUAUUGUUUUGCCCCUGUUUAGAAGUGUCAAGCUCAGUCAUUGCAACAAAUUCUCUUUAAUGCGCUUUAAACUUUACUUUGUAGGUCAUAACCGGAAGCAAUUUCUUAAUACAGAAGUUUUACAGCUUCACGUUUACUUUGGCUAAAAAGUAUAGCCACCGGUCAGUAUCAACGUCAAAAGGCGAGCUACCUGGCUUGGAAGAAAUAACAUCCACAAAGCAAGGGAUGCCAUUGCACCUUCUGCAGUGUACAGGAAAAAGAGGCUGCAGUGUCACAGGCUAGAUCACAAAAGAAUUUGGUUUGCUGUUAUCCGAUUACCAGCAUCCUGAGAGGCUUUCACAGGCCCAUCCAUCAAGACUAAGGGGUUGAGGGAGAGCCUCAACACUGCUGCUGCAGUAAUGUAAAGCACUAAAGGAUUCAUGGUUAUUAAAAGGCAUGGCUCUUGCUGUGUGUGGGUGUGGUGGGGCAUCCUGUCCCCAGGUCAGUAAGGAGAUGACGUUGACGGGAUCCGGGAGCUCCAGGACUGGAGAUAUCGGACUCCUCCGUGAAUGAGCUUGGUGCUGCGGCUGCUGGUGCCUGAUGAGAAAUUGUCUCCCUGCACAGGGGCAGUUUUGAGACCUGACAAUGGGAACCAAGGAAACACAUCAACAUUUGGAUACUUAUUGUCCCAAAUCUUUAGAAUGGAUCAAGAUACUAUUCACAUAUGCACAACCUUCCACUGUAAUAUUCAUGAUGAGAACAAUAUUGUGAGGCCAUACAUAUUCCAUUGGUUAAAAACAACAAUCAUUUCCACUAGUAUGACAGCAUGAAUCUCAAAAAGGAACUGCAUGUUUAGAAAACACUCUUAAAGAAACUAAACUGAAAAGAGAAAUCUAGAAAACAUCAGUUUUCUUCUGCACAUUUUAAUAAAUGUAUUUGAGAGAAAUCACAUGACUUUCAUAGCUUUUUUAACAGUGAAAUCACUCUUCACUUUGCCUAUUAGAAGCCUCUUUGCUGU